AUGGCUCAAUGGUUAAGAGCACUGACUGCUCUUCCAGAGGUCCUGAGUUCAAUUCUCAGU
This 60-nucleotide transfer RNA is filed under the name Mus musculus (house mouse). It matches the Rfam family "tRNA", at positions 7 to 64 of the family's 71-position model. From Rfam's summary of the family: Transfer RNA (tRNA) molecules are approximately 80 nucleotides in length. Their secondary structure includes four short double-helical elements and three loops (D, anti-codon, and T loops). Lineage: Eukaryota; Metazoa; Chordata; Mammalia; Rodentia; Muridae. The record is from Rfam by way of RNAcentral. RNAcentral also lists the same sequence under 1 other name.